CCCUUAGAUGUUCUGGGCCGCACGCGCGCUACACUGAUGCAUUCAACGAGUCUAAAACCUGCUCUGAUAGGGGUGGGUAAUCUUUUGAAUGUGCAUCGUGAUUGGGAUAGAUGAUUGCAAUUUUUCAUCUUCAACGAGGAAUGCCUAGUAAACGCAAGUCAUCAGCUUGCAUUGAUUACGUCCCUGCCCUUUGUACACACCGCCCGUCGCUCCUACCGAUUGAAUGAUCCGGUGAAUAUCAUGGAUUGAGGAUGCAAGUAGGUUCGCCUAUCUUCAUCUUCGAGAAGUGAAGUAAAUCUUAUCAUUUAGAGGAAGGAGAAGUCGUAACA
Molecule: ribosomal RNA, 329 nt
Filed under: uncultured eukaryote
Lineage: Eukaryota
Description: partial 18S ribosomal RNA
Rfam family: Eukaryotic small subunit ribosomal RNA
Source: RNAcentral